RNAcentral lists this long non-coding RNA (769 nucleotides) under Dermacentor andersoni. RNAcentral's name for it is "uncharacterized LOC126536160". Lineage: Eukaryota; Metazoa; Arthropoda; Arachnida; Ixodida; Ixodidae. The record is from RNAcentral.
AUGGGUAUACUUGCCAUUAAUUUUUUUCAGUGCCUGCAUUCAUUGUACCUAAGUGACUGAGGCACACAUUGAAGUAAGCUGGAAAGAAGGCUCCUCUACAAGCUGCUAUUUCGAUUUUCAGUAAAACAGGCGAUGGAUCCUAACAAUCGCGAAAAGUGCGAAAGAGAGGUUGUAUCUUUGCACAUAGUUGUUCACAGCUGAAAGCAGAAACUAUAGUGCUGCAUUUCCAACUGAAUAACAGUUGACGAAAUGUGAGGUGAUGGAGUCCCAGCAGAAUAUUCAGCAUACCGAGGACUUACUUGAACAAGUUUCCUGUCAAGCUUUCCAAUACACUGCAGCCAGCAUGGCAGUAUGCUUGUUCAUGCACCACACGAGCAUGUCUGCACAAAUGGUAGCUGUCCAUGCACAAGCUAACACUGCUGGUUCAAUACAUUAAAUCGAACAUUGGCCGAAGCUUUUGUGAGGUUGUCUUUUUAGCACUAGCUGAUUGUUUUCUUUCCUAUAUCUUGCAGCAAUCGACACAAGAGAAUUUAAUGAGCCCUAUAUGACAUUUGAGCUUAUAUUGAACAAAAAACAUUCUGUUCAAUCUUGGACAUUUCUACAUCUCUAACAAUUACUUAAGACCAAUUGACAAACAAAAUGCUUUGCAUUUAAUUAUCAAUGGGUCCAAAUUUCAUGUGCGUUAACAGUGCUAGUAAAAGCUGUCACAUGUGUCCCAGCCUUGUAUGUUGUGCCCGUUUAAUAAAGAAAUAAUUUCCUGUGUAUGUAA